This 147-nucleotide ribosomal RNA is filed under the name uncultured bacterium. RNAcentral's name for it is "partial 16S ribosomal RNA". It matches the Rfam family "Bacterial small subunit ribosomal RNA", at positions 380 to 527 of the family's 1533-position model. The record is from RNAcentral.
ACUCUGACGCAGCCAUGCCGCGUGCAGGAGAAGGCGCUACGCGUUGUAACUGCUUUUAUCCGGGAAGAACCCCAGGACGUGUCCUGGGUUGACGGUACCGGAGGAAUAAGCACCGGCUAACUUCGUGCCAGCAGCCGCGGUAAUACG